CUCGUCUGUUGCUGGAAAUAAACCUCCUCAGGGAGUCAAUCAGCUGCUGUGCGCUCCUCAAGCGCAUAGCCCACAGAUCAAACACGAGUGGCUGUCUCCGAGUCGGUUAAGAUAUGACCGUAGCGGCUCCGCAAGGAGAUCGGUAUACUAGUUCCGUAGGUGAACCUGCGGAAGGAU
Molecule: ribosomal RNA, 177 nt
Filed under: Mycoblastus sanguinarioides
Lineage: Eukaryota; Fungi; Ascomycota; Lecanoromycetes; Lecanorales; Mycoblastaceae
Description: partial 18S ribosomal RNA
Source: RNAcentral